UUAACGCACAACGCAUGCCCAAACCAAAGCACUCAAUUUUCUUGUUGUGAUCGGAGGUUGAAGUCAUCAAGAUGCGUAUCGAAGGGAUUGAGAAACUUUCGAACUUUUACUCUUUGUUUUUUGGAACACUUGGCGUCGGAGCAGCUAUAGUAUACAAUAUCAGUCGGUCGAGGCCAGGCCAUUCAAGUAUUUAUUUACAUAUUGGUUUUGGAACACUAGGAUAUUAUACUGGUGAUGCCUUGAAUAGAUAUAAACAAAGAGCUAUAAAUCAACGUAUGGUGGUUCUACAAGAUUACAUGGCAAGACAUCCUGAUGAUUUUGUUGGACAAGAGGCUAAAAAGUUCAAGGAUGUUUUUCAACCAUGGACCCCUGUCCGAUAACUUAAAAAAGAUGUUGAUGAUGAAACAGAUGAUUGUGUGUGAUGUGUGAUGAAAUACUGUUACGGUAAUAUUAGUGCUAUAUGAACCAUUCAGGACAACUACACAGAACAAUAAAUAGUACAUUAAAGAUAAAACUAAGAAAUUGUUUUAAGGUUUUUUAUUAAGGAUUAUGCAGUAUCUUGAGGCGAAAUAGACAGAAAGACUUUAAAAUGGAUACCAAUUAGUAGUAUAAUACUGUGAAACUGUUGGGUUUAAGAGUAUAUUGUAGUACUAGAUUUGUUAUUAGAUGAUCCUAAUGUUAUAAUUUUUUAUUGGCUCGAAUACGAAAUAGUACUAUAUAAAGUUGUAAAUUGUUUUUACUAUCGGUUCCACUAUCAGGAAAUAACAGUAAUUAAAGUUAUUACUGUGAUA
Long non-coding RNA from Patella vulgata (common limpet), 791 nucleotides. RefSeq lists it as uncharacterized. NCBI's taxonomy places the organism in Eukaryota, Metazoa, Mollusca, Gastropoda, Patellidae. The transcript is spliced from 3 exons. The record is from RefSeq and is a predicted model, not a curated record.